Molecule: ribosomal RNA, 726 nt
Filed under: uncultured bacterium
Lineage: Bacteria
Description: bacterial SSU rRNA
Rfam family: Bacterial small subunit ribosomal RNA
Source: RNAcentral
GAGUGGCAGACGGGUGAGUAACGCGUGGGAAUCUACCGUGCCCUGCGGAAUAGCUCCGGGAAACUGGAAUUAAUACCGCAUACGCCCUACGGGGGAAAGAUUUAUCGGGGUAUGAUGAGCCCGCGUUGGAUUAGCUAGUUGGUGGGGUAAAGGCCUACCAAGGCGACGAUCCAUAGCUGGUCUGAGAGGAUGAUCAGCCACAUUGGGACUGAGACACGGCCCAAACUCCUACGGGAGGCAGCAGUGGGGAAUAUUGGACAAUGGGCGAAAGCCUGAUCCAGCAAUGCCGCGUGCAGGAUGAAGGCCUUCGGGUUGUAAACUGCUUUUGUACGGAACGAAAAAGCUUCUCCUAAUACGAGAGGCCCAUGACGGUACCGUAAGAAUAAGCACCGGCUAACUACGUGCCAGCAGCCGCGGUAAUACGGAGGGUGCAGGCGUUAUCCGGAUUUAUUGGGUUUAAAGGGUCCGUAGGCGGAUCUGUAAGUCAGUGGUGAAAUCUCACAGCUUAACUGUGAAACUGCCAUUGAUACUGCAGGUCUUGAGUAAGGUAGAAGUGGCUGGAAUAAGUAGUGUAGCGGUGAAAUGCAUAGAUAUUACUUAGAACACCAAUUGCGAAGGCAGGUCACUAUGUCUUAACUGACGCUGAUGGACGAAAGCGUGGGGAGCGAACAGGAUUAGAUACCCUGGUAGUCCACGCCGUAAACGAUGCUAACUCGUUUUUGGGUU